ACUUGUUUCAUCAAUUCAACAAACCAGGGAAAAACAUAAAAAAGAUUUUAUCCACAUCAAGAUAGAAAUUUAGCUUGUAGCAUUUAAUAAUACUAACAUUGUUAUUGAUCCUAAAAAUGAAAAAUGGAAAAGUGGCAACCUUUUUACCCGGUUUAAUUUUGUAUUAUAAUGAUUUCGUGAAUUUCUUAGCUUAUCCACGCAUGUCUUCUUAAUUCCUAUACCAGAUAUUUCAAAUUCUCAUAAUAUAACACCCGAUCUGGUAAUAUUCAACCAUACGAGAUAUUUUUUCUGAAAAAAAAAUCCAAAAAAUAUUUAAGCAAAAAAUUUAGCAGAACUGUUACGAUCUGAGCUGAUAAUGCUGGGUUCGAGGCCAGCACCUCCAGAAAUAAGGGGGAAGAAGAAGAGCAGAGAAGAAAGGGAACUUUGCGAUUUUCAUUCAUUUAUGAUUCUGGCUUAUUUACAUACUUAUUUAUACUAUCCUCUACUAACAGAAUUCUUAUCUUUUUGUGCAAAAGGAAUAUUACAGAAUCAAAUCCGUUAAGCUUGUCCCCUGCUCUAGCAACAGCAUCACACGAUAAGGAUUGCUACUCAAUUCCCUUCCUGCCCUCAAGCAUAGUCUCGAAGGUGAAGAACAGCUUCCACAGGAAAGUGCAAAUGUAACCAAGGGCUCUGACCAUUCCAAGCCAAAUAUGCUUCGCAAUUUCAUCUCGUCAUGUUUUGCAGCUUUUGGGCAGGUCUGUCGCAGGAAGCAAAGAUGAAAAUCAAGAGAUGAAUUGUAAUCUACAAAGCAUGACAAGGACUUCUGAAAAAUAGAAAAACUUUUUACACCUCUGAAAGCAUAGGCAGGAGAGUAGAUUAUGCACUUACAAACAUCAGGUGAUAAGGAAGACUCAAGAUGAAGUGCUCUAUUGUAAUUGCAUUGAGCUGCAGGCCCCCCACUUCUAUUGUUGCCUGCACAAGCAUUGCCAAGUUUUAGUUAACUUGAAUGUUUAUCUAAAGUUUCAUCUUGACAGGACACUAAAUAUUUAAUAGUGUGUGUAUGUGCAUGCGUGUGUGCAUACACUUCAGAAUAAUGAUGGGAUGUUUUUUAUUCUU
Glycine soja is the source of this 1095-nucleotide long non-coding RNA. RefSeq lists it as uncharacterized. The record is from RefSeq and is a predicted model, not a curated record. The transcript is spliced from 2 exons. Lineage: Eukaryota; Viridiplantae; Streptophyta; Magnoliopsida; Fabales; Fabaceae.